AACGAACGCUGGCGGCGUGCCUAACACAUGCAAGUCGAACGAGAAAGGGGCUUCGGCUCCGAGUAAAGUGGCGCACGGGUGAGUAACACGUGGGUAACCUGCCUCUAAGAUUGGGAUAACUCGUCGAAAGAUGAGCUAAUACCGAAUAAGACCACAGUUCCCGCGGGAACAGGGGUCAAAGGUAGCCUCUGCUUGCAAGCUAUCACUUAGAGAUGGGCCUGCGCACCAUUAGCUAGUUGGUAGGGUAACGGCCUAACAAGGCAAAGAUGGUUAGCUGGUCUGAGAGGAUGAUCAGCCACACUGGAACUGAGACACGGUCCAGACUACUACGGGAGGCAGCAGUGGGGAAUAUUGCGCAAUGGGCGAAAGCUUGACGCAGCAACGCCGCGUGAGUGAUGAAGGCCUUCGGGUCGUAAAGCUCUGUCGGGAGGAACGAAUGCUCCUGAGGUUAACAGCCUCGGGAGGUGACGGUACCUUCAAAGGAAGCACCGGCUAACUCUGUG
Molecule: ribosomal RNA, 503 nt
Filed under: uncultured bacterium
Lineage: Bacteria
Description: partial 16S ribosomal RNA
Rfam family: Bacterial small subunit ribosomal RNA
Source: RNAcentral